This 2046-nucleotide ribosomal RNA is filed under the name human gut metagenome. RNAcentral's name for it is "bacterial LSU rRNA". It matches the Rfam family "Bacterial large subunit ribosomal RNA", at positions 3 to 1980 of the family's 2925-position model. The record is from RNAcentral.
UUAAGCUACAAAGAGCGUAGGGAGAAUGCCUAGGUACCAAGAGCCGAAGAAGGACGUGAUAAGCUGCGAAAAGCCACGGGGAGGAGCAAAUAUCCAUCGAGCCGUGGGUGUCCGAAUGAGGAAACUCAUACAGUAAAAAAAGACUGUAUAUCCAUACAUGAGUAAAGUAGUGUAUAGGAAGGGAACGUGGGGAACUGAAACAUCUUAGUACCCAUAGGAAAAGAAAGUAACAACGAUUCCUGAAGUAGUGGCGAGCGAAACAGGAAGAGCCCAAACCAUGGAUAGUAAUAUUUGUGGGGUUCGGAUUAUCAAUAAAGCCAAGAAUGAUGUUAGUAGAAUUACCAGGGAAGGUAAACCAAAGAAGGUGAAAGUCCUGUAUAUGAAAACAGAGUGAAGGCGAGAUAAAUCCAGAGUAGUGCGAGACACGAGAAAUCUCGUAUGAAAGAGCGGAGACCAUUCCGUAAGGCUAAAUACUACUUGGUAACCGAUAGAGAACAAGUACCGUGAGGGAACGGUGAAAAGGACCCCGGGAGGGGAGUGAAAGAGAACCUGAAACCCUAUGUUUACAAGCAGAUAGAGCGAUUUAAGGCGCGAUAUCGUACUUUUUGUAGAACGGUCCAGCGAGUUAUUGUAUAUGGCGAGGUUAAGUUCUGAAUAAGGAAUGGAGCCGAAGAGAAAUCGAGUCUGAAGAGGGCGAUAUAAGUCAUAUAUAAUAGACCCGAAACCGGGUGACCUAUCCAUGGUCAGGAUGAAGCUGAAGUAAAAUUCAGUGGAGGUCCGAACUGAUUGUCGUUAAAAAGGCACCGGAUGAACUGUGGAUAGCGGAGAAAUUCCAAUCGAACUCGGAGAUAGCUGGUUCUCCUCGAAAUAGCUUUAGGGCUAGCCUUGAGGUCAAAGAAUUAUGGGGGUAGAGCACUGAAUGAGGUAGGGGCCAAACCAGGUUACCAAACUCUAUCAAACUACGAAUACCAUAAUUAGAAUACUCAGGAGUCAGACUGCGGGAGCUAAGUUCCGUGGUCAAAAGGGAAAGAGCCCAGACCGACAAUUAAGGUCCCAAAGAUAUAGUUAAGUGGAAAACGAUGUGAAUUUGCAUAAACAACCAGGAUGUUGGCUCAGAAGCAGCCACUCAUUCAAAGAGUGCGUAACAGCUCACUGGUCGAGUGAAUUUGCGCGGAAAAUUACCGGGGCUAAACUAUACACCGAAAUUUCGGAUUUGUGAAUGUCUAAUAAUGUGUAUUAUUAAGAAAUAAAUUUUCUUUUGUCACGAAGUGACAAACAAAAUGAAAAAAUGAUAAAGAAUACACGAAAAGGAAAAUGAUGCAUAUUAUUAGACAUUUGCAAGUGGUAGAGGAGCAUUCUGUAGUAGGAAGAAGUCAAAGCGAGAGCAUUGGUGGACGAAGCAGAAGAGAGAAUGCUGGAAUAAGUAGCGAGAGCAAGGUGAGAAUCCUUGCCGUCGAAAGUCUAAGGUUUCCUGGGGAAGGUUCGUCCGCCCAGGGUAAGUCGGGGCCUAAGGAGAGGCCGAAAGGCGUAUCUGAUGGAUAGCAGGUGGAGAUUCCUGCACUAUAGCUAGUUUUAAAAGAUGCAAGGGACGCAGUAGAGGAAGAUAACCAAGGAAGAGGAAAAACUUGGUCCGCAAGGGAUAGUGAAAAUUAAUAGUAACGAAAUAUCAAGAAUCACACUGACGAGAAAAGCUUGUAGAUAUUAACUAGAAAUACCCGUACCGCAAACCGACACAGGUAGAUGAGGAGAGGAUCCUAAGACGAGCGGGAGAAGCAUUGUUAAGGAACUCGGCAAAAUAACCCCGUAACUUCGGGAGAAGGGGAGCCUAAGUAAAAUUAGGUCGCAGAGAAAAGGCCCAAGCAACUGUUUAACAAAAACACAGGUUUCUGCAAAAUCGAAAGAUGAAGUAUAGGAGCUGACGCCUGCCCAGUGCUGGAAGGUUAAGGGAAAGAGUUAGGUGUAAACCGAAGCUUAGAACUAAAGCCCCAGUGAACGGCGGCCGUAACUAUAACGGUCCUAAGGUAGCGAAAUUCCUUGUCAGGUAAG